AGAGAAGAGAAGAGAAGAGAAGAGAAGAGAAGAGAAGAGAGAAAAGACUGGUCUGGGAGGACCUCAUUUGGAUGGAAAGAGGAAAUAUUCUCCCUCAGAUAGAAUGAGGGCAAAUCUACUCAUCUUCAGCAGCUCGAUACACAAGCCCCAGUUACGUCAAAGCAAAGCCUGGGGCUGUGGAGAUGAGAGCAGUGAAGGAGCAGCUACAUGGUACUUAGUGUGUCUGGGGUUAAACCACAACAGACUAUGAAUAAUUCACCCUAAUGUUGCCAGCCCAGAUCCACCUGAGCCACCUCAACCUUAGCAGCUUGAUCCACCUUCUGGAUCUUUAAUUCUUCAGUAUCCUGGGUUAAUGCACCCACAAUGG
Long non-coding RNA from Catharus ustulatus (Swainson's thrush), 367 nucleotides. RefSeq lists it as uncharacterized. The record is from RefSeq and is a predicted model, not a curated record. The transcript has 3 exons. Lineage: Eukaryota; Metazoa; Chordata; Aves; Passeriformes; Turdidae.